AGGACGAACGCUGGCGGCGUGCUUAACACAUGCAAGUCGAGCGGAAAGGCCCUUCGGGGUACUCGAGCGGCGAACGGGUGAGUAACACGUGAGUAAUCUGCCCCUAGCUCUGGGAUAGCUCCGGGAAAACCGGGAUUAAUACCAGAUACGACCACUUUAGACAUCUUCUGUGGUGGAAAGAACUUCGGCUAGGGAUGAACUCGCGGCCUAUCAGCUUGUUGGUGAGGUAACGGCUCACCAAGGCGACGACGGGUAGCCGGCCUGAGAGGGCGACCGGCCACACUGGGACUGAGACACGGCCCAGACUCCUACGGGAGGCAGCAGUGGGGAAUAUUGCGCAAUGGGCGAAAGCCUGACGCAGCGACGCCGCGUGGGGGAUGAAGGCCUUCGGGUUGUAAACCCCUUUCAGCAGGGACGAAGCGAAAGUGACGGUACCUGCAGAAGAAGCGCCGGCUAACUACGCGCCAGCAGCCGC
Molecule: ribosomal RNA, 475 nt
Filed under: uncultured bacterium
Lineage: Bacteria
Description: SSU rRNA
Rfam family: Bacterial small subunit ribosomal RNA
Source: RNAcentral